RNAcentral lists this ribosomal RNA (442 nucleotides) under uncultured bacterium. RNAcentral describes it as "partial 16S ribosomal RNA". It matches the Rfam family "Bacterial small subunit ribosomal RNA", at positions 338 to 795 of the family's 1533-position model. The record is from RNAcentral.
CCUACGGGUGGCAGCAGUGGGGAAUAUUGCACAAUGGGGGAAACCCUGAUGCAGCAACGCCGCGUGGGUGAAGGAGCGUUUCGGCGCGUAAAGCCCUGUCAGCGGGGAAGAAGAAAGACGGUACCCGACCAAGAAGCCCCGGCUAACUACGUGCCAGCAGCCGCGGUAAUACGUAGGGGGCGAGCGUUAUCCGGAAUUACUGGGUUUAAAGGGUGCGUAGGCUGUGAGGUAAGUCAGCGGUGAAAUGCCCCCGCUCAACGGGGUGAAGUGCCAUUGAUACUGCCUUGCUGGAAUGCGGAUGCCGUGGGAGGAAUGUGUGGUGUAGCGGUGAAAUGCAUAGAUAUCACACAGAACACCGAUUGCGAAGGCAUCUCACGAAUCCGCGAUUGACGCUGAUGCACGAAAGCGUGGGUAUCAAACAGGAUUAGAUACCCUGGUAGUC